RNAcentral lists this long non-coding RNA (1493 nucleotides) under Homo sapiens (human). Its description in RNAcentral is "long intergenic non-protein coding RNA 906". The record is from RNAcentral. Lineage: Eukaryota; Metazoa; Chordata; Mammalia; Primates; Hominidae.
GGACCUGAUCAAGCAUCUGGACUGGCUUAUGGAUAUAGAGAAAAUGUAGGGGAUAGAUGAGCACGGGAAAUGUCUCCGUGGGGCAAAAUUCACGAAAUUCAGAUUGUUGGACACUCUCCAGGACAAAAGGUCUAGAUUCUUCAAAAACAACAACAUCGAAAAAAAAAAACUGCCAGAAAGAAAAAAUACAGAGGGAGAAGGACACAGAACACAUUUAUGAGUCUUUUCACCCUCAUUUCGUUGAAGAUUUUAUUGGCCGAAGAACCCUCAGUAGGCACGAAAUUCAUUCUCACAAGCAGAGAGAUGCAUUAUGCUCCAUUUAUUGCUCAUCCUAAAUUAUAAACAUUUCCAGUGAAUGUAAAGGAAGAUAUGAUUGAAAAGGACUCUGUGAAGACAGGAUGUUUCUGUACAGUCCUUGUAUCUGCUCACCUAUUCCAAACUUUCCAGAGAUUUUACCAGAGGUUUAAGAUAUUCUCCUGAGGGUUUGCUGUAGAGAGAUUUUUCUUAACUAAGGAGUGCAAGUAGCAAGCAAUAGCCCACCCAGUUGGAGACAAAAAAGAAGGGUGUCAGUGUUCCCACUGUUAAAAAACAAAAAAAAAUCACCCUGGACACCUCUGAGAAUUAUACAAGGGGAUGUACACAGCCCUGCUUUAUUUGAGUUCAAAAGGAAGGUGGGUUUUGAAAGAAGAACAAGGAGAGUAGAUCUCUCUGGAUCUUCUGAUGCUCACAGCAAAGAGCUCAAGGUAUCUGAGUCAACUCUUGAGGCUUCUUCGAACAGAGGGAUGAAGAGAGAAUAUGGCAAGCUUGCCAACAGAUCCCAGAAGUUUUAAGAGAAAAGAACAGAUUGCUCUUUGCAAAACAAACCGAGCUGGGUGCAUGGAGCCCCAGUAGACAGAAAGUGAAGAAAACAUCAACGUUCUGAAGUUUUAGAUAGAGGAAGAAACAGGCCCAGAGAAGUUGGGUAACUCAUCAAAGGUCACAGAGCUAAGAGUGGCAGAGUCAGGCCUGGAGCCCAGGAAGUCUGGUUUCGAAUUUCAUGCUUCUAACCUGAGCACUGUACUGCUUGGUGGAGUUCUCUGCUAGUCCUACCUUUCAGGCAGAGGUGAUGCAGCAAGAAAGCUGCCACCAGAUGCAGCCCCUUGAUCUCGGACUGCCCAGCCUCUAGAACUGGGCUUCAGUAGAAGAGGAAGAGGCUUGGGUUUAAUUGAAGGUGGCCUGAGACAUCUGUGAGGAACAGCCCUUUUAGAGACAUAUCCCCUACAAAUAAAGCAUCAGAAUUAUUAUCCUAAUACAUGAACAUCCAUGGUUCCUUCAGCACCAUCGUAAUGCAGAGACCAUGGGGAGAUGCAGGGAGAGGGCUCUGCACAGCAUGGCCAACUUGCCGGGUUGAAAACAGACAACCUCCAUGGAGCAGGGACUUCAAUUAGUUAAUUCCCCAUCCCCACUGUCACUUACUAACAUGGGAUUCUGAUUAAAAAUUAGAUUCUCUGCAA